Molecule: small nuclear RNA, 81 nt
Organism: Myotis lucifugus (little brown bat)
Lineage: Eukaryota; Metazoa; Chordata; Mammalia; Chiroptera; Vespertilionidae
Gene: U4
Rfam family: U4 spliceosomal RNA
About the family: U4 small nuclear RNA (U4 snRNA) is a component of the major U2-dependent spliceosome. The structure of U4 snRNA from yeast and human has been reported.
Source: Ensembl
AGCUUUGCGCAGCGGCAGCAUUGUAGCCAAUGAGGUGUAUUCAAGGUGCGAUUAUUACUGAUUGAAAAAACAAUCAAUGGG